UACGGAGGGGGCUAGCGUUGUUCGGAAUUACUGGGCGUAAAGCGCAUGUAGGCGGCUUUGUAAGUUAGAGGUGAAAGCCCAGGGCUUAACUCUGGAAUUGCCUUUAAGACUGCAUCGCUAGAAUCGUGGAGAGGUGAGUGGAAUUCCGAGUGUAGAGGUGAAAUUCGUAGAUAUUCGGAAGAACACCAGUGGCGAAGGCGACUCACUGGACACGUAUUGACGCUGAGGUGCGAAAGCGUGGGGAGCAAACAGG
This 253-nucleotide ribosomal RNA is filed under the name uncultured bacterium. RNAcentral's name for it is "partial 16S ribosomal RNA". It matches the Rfam family "Bacterial small subunit ribosomal RNA", at positions 524 to 776 of the family's 1533-position model. The record is from RNAcentral.